Molecule: transfer RNA, 65 nt
Filed under: Curtonida isos
Lineage: Eukaryota; Metazoa; Arthropoda; Malacostraca; Decapoda; Munididae
Description: Munida isos tRNA-Cys
Source: RNAcentral
AGCUUUAUAGUGGAAAAUAAGACGUUAGAUUGCAAAUCUGAAGAUGUAGGUUAUUACUGAAGCUU